This 271-nucleotide ribosomal RNA is filed under the name uncultured soil bacterium. RNAcentral's name for it is "partial 16S ribosomal RNA". It matches the Rfam family "Bacterial small subunit ribosomal RNA", at positions 26 to 299 of the family's 1533-position model. The record is from RNAcentral.
AGAUUGAACGCUGGCGGCAUGCCUUACACAUGCAAGUCGAACGGCAGCACGGGAGCAAUCCUGGUGGCGAGUGGCGAACGGGUGAGUAAUACAUCGGAACGUGCCCAAUCGUGGGGGAUAACGCAGCGAAAGCUGUGCUAAUACCGCAUAAGAUCUACGGAUGAAAGCAGGGGAUCGCAAGACCUUGCGCGAAUGGAGCGGCCGAUGGCAGAUUAGGUAGGUUGGUGAGGUAAAGGCUCACCAAGCCUUCGAUCUGUAGCUGUCUGAGAGG